Molecule: ribosomal RNA, 415 nt
Filed under: uncultured Methanosaeta sp.
Lineage: Archaea; Methanobacteriati; Methanobacteriota; Methanomicrobia; Methanotrichales; Methanotrichaceae
Description: bacterial SSU rRNA
Rfam family: Archaeal small subunit ribosomal RNA
Source: RNAcentral
UCUCGACCGGGGGCGACAGCAAUAUGAAGGUCAGGCUGAAGACCUUACCCGAUUAGCUGAGAGGUGGUGCAUGGCCGUCGUCAGUUCGUACUGUGAAGCAUCCUGUUAAGUCAGGCAACGAGCGAGACCCACGUCCACAGUUGCCAGCAUACCCUCCGGGGUGAUGGGUACACUGUGGAGACCGCCGCUGCUAAAGCGGAGGAAGGAGUGGGCAACGGUAGGUCAGUAUGCCCCGAAUCUCCCGGGCUACACGCGGGCUACAAUGGUUGGUACAAUGGGCAUCUACCCCGAAAGGGGAAGGAAAUCUCUUAAAGCCAAUCGUAGUUCGGAUUGAGGGCUGCAACUCGCCCUCAUGAAGCUGGAAUCCGUAGUAAUCGCGUUUCAACAGAACGCGGUGAAUACGUCCCUGCUCCUU